Molecule: long non-coding RNA, 325 nt
Filed under: Elaeis guineensis (African oil palm)
Lineage: Eukaryota; Viridiplantae; Streptophyta; Magnoliopsida; Arecales; Arecaceae
Description: long non-coding RNA (EGUI_LNC064231)
Source: RNAcentral
CGUGGGGUCUUGUGCCAGUUCAAAGACAGUUCUGGUUACUGUAAUGGGUGUUGGCAGGCUUAGCGGUUCAAUAAAGUUUCAAAUAGGCACGCUUGAGAGCUAUAACGGUGGCUUGGCUUUAGCGUGGGUAGCUAUGAACUUGAGAGCAGAUUCAAAUAAAACAAAAAGGUGGGGUCCAGGUGAUUCAAAUGUGGUGGCUUUGGGCGUUCCUCAGUGGUUUAAUGUGGAAGUGGUUGUGGUUGUGAGGGACCCAUGUGAUUAAAAAAAAAAGUAAAACAAUGCAGUCACAGGUGGCUGGAGCGUGGGAGCAGAAUUCAAGUGCAGU